GAUGAACGCUGGCGGCGUGCCUAAUACAUGCAAGUCGAGCGAACAGACGAGGAGCUUGCUCCUCUGACGUUAGCGGCGGACGGGUGAGUAACACGUGGAUAACCUACCUAUAAGACUGGGAUAACUUCGGGAAACCGGAGCUAAUACCGGAUAAUAUAUUGAACCGCAUGGUUCAAUAGUGAAAGACGGUUUUGCUGUCACUUAUAGAUGUAUCCGCGCCGCAUUAGCUAGUUGGUAAGGUAACGGCUUACCAAGGCAACGAUGCGUAGCCGACCUGAGAGGGUGAUCGGCCACACUGGAACUGAGACACGGUCCAGACUCCUAAGGGAGGCAGCAGUAGGGAAUCUUCCGCAAUGGGCGAAAGCCUGACGGAGCAACGCCGCGUGAGUGAUGAAGGUCUUCGGAUCGUAAAACUCUGUUUUUAGGGAAGAACAAAUGUGUAAGUAACUAUGCACGUCUUGACGGUACCUAAUCAGAAAGCCACGGCUAACUACGUG
Molecule: ribosomal RNA, 497 nt
Filed under: uncultured bacterium
Lineage: Bacteria
Description: partial 16S ribosomal RNA
Rfam family: Bacterial small subunit ribosomal RNA
Source: RNAcentral